UCACAGCUCUAACCUGGCAA
Molecule: microRNA, 20 nt
Filed under: Drosophila pseudoobscura pseudoobscura
Lineage: Eukaryota; Metazoa; Arthropoda; Insecta; Diptera; Drosophilidae
Description: mir-2567b-RB
Source: RNAcentral